This 235-nucleotide long non-coding RNA is filed under the name Capsella rubella. RNAcentral's name for it is "long non-coding RNA (CRUB_LNC001729)". Lineage: Eukaryota; Viridiplantae; Streptophyta; Magnoliopsida; Brassicales; Brassicaceae. The record is from RNAcentral.
GGGUUGUCGUUUUGCCGGAAGAUUUCUAUGCCAGAGACGAGGAGGAUUUCGGCUUUCAAUUGUCGGAAAGUUGAUACCGAUUUCAAUUGCCAUACCAAUCGUCUUCGUCCGCCAGAGAGACUCGAGAGAGAGAAGAAGAGAAGAAGAGAAUACGAGGAGACCCCAAAAAAAUGCGACCUACACUAACCGCGAACCAAUCAUCGAUUGCCACGUGGUCUAAAGGAUGAGCAUAAAU